GGACCCAGCUGACAAACUGGUGAGGCACAGAGCAUGUUACCUUCGAGACACUGCAUAUGCAUUAAUCAAAGCUGAAAUGGAUAGUGAUUUCGAAGAACAGUGCAAAUCAAUAAGAGGUGCAAGGCAGCAACGAGAGAAAGUUGAAAGCUCAGUCCAUGUAGCAGAGUCUUUUGUGCCAGAAUUCGUUCAUACCAAGCCAGUGACUGAAACUCACCCUGCGCUUGCGCCAUCCUGGUAUCAGAAAGACACUGUGAAUAAAAAAGAAAAUGGUCCUCAAGCAAGUGCUACAAACACCUACAACUCAAGUAAUGUAAAGAGAAGGAAGCGGCGAACAUCUCUAUGGGCAAAAGGAAUAGCAGCCAAAAAGAAAAAGAUUGUUAAAUCAGAGCCCAGUGCAAAUGAAACGGAAAAUAGUCCAGGGACUCCACCCUCCAAAAAACUUUCUGUUCCAAUACGAAUCUAGCGAAGAAAAAUAGUUGCUCACCAACUUCACCAGCAGUAUCUGCGGUAGAAAAUUCAAUGACAACUCCAGCUAGGUACCCAACAAAAGCUGAAAGGAAGGAACCAUGUCAGAUGGCAACAAGCACGCCAAUUCACAUUACUCACAGGACAAGGAGCUCCUCCCGAGAGCAUGCAUCUACAGAGAAGACCGCAGAAGAACCUCUUGUUAAUGGUUACAAUGAAUCUUCUGAUGAAGAAAUGGCUGCCAAAGAAGAAAAGGAAGAGACAGUGAUGGAUGUAGAGGAAUCAGCGUUGUUAAGUGAUGAUGAUAGUGAAGAUUGUCAGUCUCCUGUUCUCCUAAAGAAAGAAGUGAAUGUCAUCACUGUGUCUAAAACAGCUCUUGGCUUGUUAUUAUCUGAAGUAGUACAAGUAACAGAAGAUGUCGAAUCCAUUGAGCCUUUAAUUUACCUGUAUAGUCAGUUUCGAAAAUAAUUGGUCUGUACAUUAAGAAAACGGACCGAACCAAUUUAGUGCAGGACUUGCAAGAAGAAUUGCAAAGGUUUGUAAGGUUCUUUGUCACGCGUGAAGAAGAUCCUGAUCUAAAUUUGGAUGAAAGCAUAUGUACAAUCCUAGAAACAUCAACUGCUCAGCAGUGUUAGUGAUCUCUCUUGCUCAAAAACAUCCAUUCACGUAAAUAAACGUAUCUACUAAUAUUUGUAAAUAUUCUUGGAACUUUCUCCGAAGUGUUCCAUUUUCACCAAAACUAUGGAAAAUAUUGCUUUAAUUUUUCUCACACUUCAUAAUUAUGUUUGUGUAAAUGAUCGUGUGGAGUAUCACUUAAACGUGAGAUCUUACUUUUUGACUUGUGAUCUUAGUCUGUUUGUGAUCAGUUACUUCCACUGCCAUUUUAUUGAUGGGGGAGUCUCAGUUUGAUCUUCCCCUGACUAUUUUAUGUAAUCUGCCUGUUUUAUAUUCUUAUUUUUUAUUUUUAUGUAUUUGAUGAGAAGUUGGUUACUCAUCAAACAAGCAUGUAUCGUUUUAAUCAAAAUUUUUAUUUUUUUCAACAUUUUAAUACAACCUGAACAAACAAGUGUAGUUGAGGUGUUAUACUUUCGCUGUCAGUCAGAAUCGUAGCUUGCACCAUGUACAUUUCAUGAUUUGGAUACGUGCAGUAUUUGGAAAGAUCUUAAAUCUUUUAAAAUUUGUUGAAAUUGUUUCCAGGAAUUUCAUCAUUACUAUUUCCUAAAGUUUGAUCAGACCACAAAACAGGGUAUAAAGUUAAGCUCCAGAACGUACGUCUUUGGAUCGAAAUUGGACAUAGAAUACGUUGGACGCAUUUAAUAUUUCCCAAUUCAACUCAUAAGUGAGAAAGUAGCGGUUUUUGUUCACGUUGAUUCACACCUUCCACUCACAAUAAAACCAAAGUCUUCUCGAGUCCAAUGAAGCACUUAACUAACAUUUCGGGAUUUUUAAUAAUUGAAGAAUUUUCCUGUGCACAAACUUUUUUUCGACAAGAUUGAAGGUAUUUUGUGUUAGAAGAAGGAGAAAAUGUGUUCAAAACUGAGCUUUAGUUAUUUUGUAAUGUGUAGGUUGAUUUCAAUGCCAAAUUUGGUCUGCGAUGAUUAUUGUUUUUUGUGAGAGGGAAGUUUGAAUUUAUUGCUCAUUAUGGAAACAACUAACGUGUAUUUCUAGUUUAUGAGUUGAUUUUUGAAGUUUUCAUUAUGUUAAACAUUUUCUGCACGCAAUUUUGACGUGAGACAUGUGCUGCAGUGCUUAAUUUCGUACUUUGUCUAAUGAUCCAUUGCAACACUUAUUUUUUGUCCAGGCAAUGAAGUAAAACAAAGAGAGAAAAAAAAAAGGGCUCAGAAUUUCAAAGACCUUACACUAUUUUCUCCUAUUAUAGGCAUACUGACCUCAUGCCUCAUGUCAUAAUUUAUUGAACUUGGAGAAUCCAAGAGCUUCCUUGACGGGAAGGGAAGGUCUAGUGGCAUAGGUUGACUGGAAGACUGGUAUAGCUAUUUAAUAACCAUGACUGCUGGUUGAUCUGCUCAGCCAGGCAGGGAACUUGUUAAUGAAUGAUAUUGCACGGUAGUUUUAAGAUGUGUCUUAGCUGAAUCAACGAAUCAAAUUUUACUUGGUGAAAAGAACGUUCUUCCCUUGCCAAAAAUCACUAGUUGUUCAUUAUUUUGAUGGAGCAACUGCUACAUAUUUCAUGCUUUCUUCCAAAACUCUUGAGUGUUCAAAGAAUUGAAGAGUUGCCAUGGCUUUGAAUCUCUUAAUAAGUUAAUUUCAAAAGGGCUACUCAACAUUUUGACAAUAGAGCUAUGCUAGCCUGCACGAAUGAUUAUGGGCCAGUUUUCCAAAACUCUUAAAAUGAAGAUUAGAGAAAGGAAGAUGAUUUUAAUAACACUGUUGAUAUUAGUUAAUGUCAGAGUUAAUCGCAGUUCGAGGACUAACGAAUCAUACCGCCUAACUGACAAUUUGGCAAAAAUGAGUCAGCGACUCUGCUGCAUUUUACAGCAUAAAAUAUGCAAGCUGGUGAUUGUAGUUUUCUCCAAUUCUGUAGUGGAGCGCUGUAAUGUAUGAAAAAAUUGUAAAUGUAGCCUUAAAACUACAAAAUAAUGCGAAAUUUUCUCUUCGUUCUGCAAAAUCGUAUGUUUGCAGAUAGGCGGUAUCGUUCGUUAGCCAUCGAGUUCUAAUGUAAGACUGCUUCUAAUGUAAUAAGACUGGAGAUGCCUGCAUUUCAUUUUUGGAGUGAGUCAACUUUACGUUCUGUUCCAGCUAAUUCAGAAAUGCUUUCUCCUCGUUCAUUAGCUUCUUGAUGUAUUUAAGCUCGCAAGGAAGCCACAACAGGUUUGUUGCAGGCAAGCUAAUAUAGCCAAGAAAUCAGACUUUCCAAAGGUGAAUCAUAAUGGGCAAAAUAGAAAAUUGAAAUCCACUCUUUUGUGCGCAAUUUGUGUAGUUUGUAAUUAGCUUUGUCUGCAAUCAGGUUUACCCUGAAAGAUAAAUGAAAACGCUUGAAGUGUUUGUUUCCUCAUUUUUUCUUAUGUUGCCAAAACGGAAGCUUUAAAUGAAUAGAAAUUAUACAUAGGGAAAGCUUGUAAUAGUUCACAGGACUGUUUGUAGUCUUAAUUUGGUUUUUUUGAGUUUCUCUCCGUGAAAAAUGUUACUGGUUACUAAGAAAAACAUCCCGCAGAUGCAGGAAAUUUGUAAAUGCAUGUUAUAAACUGUGCAGAUUAUUUGUAUGGGCGGAUCAGGAGUGGAUUCCAAACUUUCUUGACGUGUUCAUUGAGAUCUUUGUGUGAUUUUACCAAUUCAAAGUCUGUUCACUUAGCUCUAUUUCCUGUGUGCAAUAGACCCAUUGCUCCACAAUUAAUUUUCUUGUGACAUGAAUGAUAUUUGAAAGUUGUCCCGCCAAAAUCAUAUAAAAAGCAGAAGGAGUUCAAGAAAGAUUAUUUAAACGUUCUCAUUUUUAAAAUAACCAUUUUCUUUUUCUCUUUCUUUCCUUCUUACUCAUAAGAAAUUUAGUGCCCAAAAGCAGAAAAUGUAAGAUAUCAGAGGUAUACAAUUGUUAAUUGACCUAAAACAUUAUUUUAAGAUGGAUUUGAAACUUGAUAUAUAAAUUAUUGUAUUUUUUUCUUUCUACCAGUGGAGAAUGUUACAUCAAUCACGUUUUUCUGAUAGUAACAAAAAACGUCUACUGUCAACUAGCUUUUGAAAUCAAGAUCUCUGUUAGACCAAUUUGUUCAAACUUAAACCUCAGUGGUACCCACGUUAUUUUUCAGUGAUGAUAAUUCAAAUAUUUUUCCUCGUUUACUUGAAUUUUUUUUUAAUUCUUAUUCCUCUUAAAUUUUAGAUUUUUAAAAUUAUUUAAGAUUAUUGUAUCUCGUCACUUUGUGAAAUGAAAUAUUUUUUGAAAAUUCUAAUAAGCAUAUGUAUUUCUUUCACUUUUAUCAUUCCUGUAUAUUUAUUCUUUUUUUUUAAUUUUUUUUGUGCAUUUCAUUUAAUUUUGGUCCUCAUAGACUAGGAAAUAGAAGAAGAAAGCAAGCCUAGCACUAUUUGUCGUUGAUAGGAAGUAAAUUUAUUCAUAAAUCAUUCUGAGGUAAUGAAAUGAAAUUGAUAUAACUUGAAAGUUGAGUAAAGGAAAGAAGAUGUAAUCAAUUUAAAAUGCCCAAGAACCUUGAAAAAUAAUCAUCCAACUUUAUUCAAUCAACGAUGGAAACAAUAUAUAAUUUGAAAUUUUUAACAAACAGUCAGUUUCAAUAAAAAAUAAAAACACAGCAGCUGACUCAAUGCUCAGAAGGAAAAAAACAAUCUUGAAGUGGGAAAACUAAAGCAUCUGACAGUUGUUUACUCUCCAGAAGUUACUGUAAAAUGCAAGGAGAGUAUCCCAAGUUUCCUCCAAAUUCGAUCAGUGGUCUCACAUAGAAAUGUUGAAGUGUUGUUUGGGAAGAACGAAUAAAAAGAAUCUGCAACAGAGAAGUGGAAAAGAUGGUUAGAAGCAGAAGAUAACCUGGUGAAAAAACAAUGUUAGUUGUCGCUUGACAGUUCUUCACAGAGCUAAUUUUUAGAAAACUUUUUCUUCAAGUAUCGUCAGUGAGAAAAUAAUGUUUCGAUUGAGUACAUAUUUUGGUAUGAGAAUGAGUAUUUUUUCUAUGGCUGGGCAAAAAGCUUUCUUCUUAUACUUCCUCUUGAGGGUUAGUCAGGAUGAAGAGCUUGUGAGAAACUAGUUUCCAGUGCACGUUCGAUUAGAGGAUACAAUAAUGGAGGUCUUAAGAUAAAUCAGUUGCUUCAAGUAAUAUUCAAAAUUUUUAUUAAUUUUGCCAAAAACUAGUAAAAACAGUGUGAUAAUAUGG
Molecule: long non-coding RNA, 5297 nt
Filed under: Bemisia tabaci
Lineage: Eukaryota; Metazoa; Arthropoda; Insecta; Hemiptera; Aleyrodidae
Description: lncRNA ENSSWEETPG004616
Source: RNAcentral